AGACCCGAAACCCGGUGAUCUAGCCAUGGGCAGGUUGAAGGUUGGGUAACACUAACUGGAGGACCGAACCGACUAAUGUUGAAAAAUUAGCGGAUGACCUGUGGCUGGGGGUGAAAGGCCAAUCAAACCGGGAGAUAGCUGGUUCUCCCCGAAAGCUAUUUAGGUAGCGCCUCGUGAAUUCAUCUCCGGGGGUAGAGCACUGUUUCGGCUAGGGGGCCAUCCCGGCUUACCAACCCGAUGCAAACUGCGAAUACCGGAGAAUGUUAUCACGGGAGACACACGGCGGGUGCUAACGUCCGUCGUGAAGAGGGAAACAACCCAGACCGCCAGCUAAGGUCCCAAAGUCAUGGUUAAGUGGGAAACGAUGUGGGAAGGCCCAGACAGCCAGGAUGUUGGCUUAGAAGCAGCCAUCAUUUAAAGAAAGCGUAAUAGCUCACUGGUCGAGUCGGCCUGCGCGGAAGAUGUAACGGGGCUAAACCAUGCACCGAAGCUGCGGCAGCGACAUUUAGGUGUUGUUGGGUAGGGGAGCGUUCUGUAAGCCUGUGAAGGUGGCCUGUGAGGGUUGCUGGAGGUAUCAGAAGUGCGAAUGCUGACAUAAGUAACGAUAAAGCGGGUGAAAAGCCCGCUCGCCGGAAGACCAAGGGUUCCUGUCCAACGUUAAUCGGGGCAGGGUGAGUCGACCCCUAAGGCGAGGCCGAAAGGCGUAGUCGAUGGGAAACGGGUUAAUAUUCCCGUACUUGGUGUUACUGCGAAGGGGGGACGGAGAAGGCUAUGUUGGCCGGGCGACGGUUGUCCCGGUUUAAGCGUGUAGGUGUGUGUUCCAGGUAAAUCCGGUU
RNAcentral lists this ribosomal RNA (836 nucleotides) under Salmonella enterica subsp. enterica. RNAcentral describes it as "partial 23S ribosomal RNA". It matches the Rfam family "Bacterial large subunit ribosomal RNA", at positions 711 to 1547 of the family's 2925-position model. Lineage: Bacteria; Pseudomonadati; Pseudomonadota; Gammaproteobacteria; Enterobacterales; Enterobacteriaceae. The record is from RNAcentral. RNAcentral also lists the same sequence under 1 other name.